RNAcentral lists this non-coding RNA (152 nucleotides) under Alkalithermobacter paradoxus. RNAcentral describes it as "Clostridium thermoalcaliphilum GlcN6P sequence". It matches the Rfam family "glmS glucosamine-6-phosphate activated ribozyme aptamer". From Rfam's summary of the family: This entry contains a glucosamine-6-phosphate activated ribozyme that is found in the mRNA for GlmS. GlmS is an enzyme that uses fructose-6-phosphate and glutamine to generate glucosamine-6-phosphate. The ribozyme catalyses self cleavage of the glmS mRNA that is thought to regulate GlmS activity. Lineage: Bacteria; Bacillati; Bacillota; Clostridia; Peptostreptococcales; Tepidibacteraceae. The record is from Rfam by way of RNAcentral.
UCUAUGCCUAGAGCGCCAGGACUUAAUUUAUAUUAAGUUGACGAGGACAGGGCUUAUCGAAUUAUCGGCGGAUACCCUGCGGUUCACAACCGAGAGAUGUUUAACAAAAUCUAUAAGUGAUUAUAGACACAAAAUAAACAUCAGUGAAUAGA